This 126-nucleotide small RNA is filed under the name Arabidopsis thaliana (thale cress). Its description in RNAcentral is "ATSL163560". Lineage: Eukaryota; Viridiplantae; Streptophyta; Magnoliopsida; Brassicales; Brassicaceae. The record is from RNAcentral.
CAAUAGAUGAAUUCCAUUUUCCUUCCUCAUUCAUUGGAGAGCUCUCUUUGGGCUUUCCGAAAAGGUAUGACAUUUCAAGUUUGGCCUCAUGGUCUCAAAGUUAUAAAGUCAUACAUUUUUCACAAA